UGAUCACUACUACUGAUGAAUAUGGUAUAAGAUUCUUUCUGAUGUCGAGUAGCCACACAGUGUGUCUGACCUCUAUAGGUAGUCCACUCGAAGCCCCGAACAGAUCAUACUUCUCGAGAGUGCUAGCUCGCAUCGAAGGCUCUAGAUGAUUGAUGGAGACUCCUUUCUUCAGAUUGAAUGGACAUCUCUAGAUUAGAAGUUGGAGCUUUUUGAGGAGG
RNAcentral lists this long non-coding RNA (218 nucleotides) under Elaeis guineensis (African oil palm). RNAcentral describes it as "long non-coding RNA (EGUI_LNC067696)". Lineage: Eukaryota; Viridiplantae; Streptophyta; Magnoliopsida; Arecales; Arecaceae. The record is from RNAcentral.